RNAcentral lists this ribosomal RNA (492 nucleotides) under uncultured bacterium. Its description in RNAcentral is "partial 16S ribosomal RNA". It matches the Rfam family "Bacterial small subunit ribosomal RNA", at positions 29 to 507 of the family's 1533-position model. The record is from RNAcentral.
AGUGAACGCUGGCGGUAGGCCUAACACAUGCAAGUCGAACGGCAGCACAGUAAGAGCUUGCUCUUACGGGUGGCGAGUGGCGGACGGGUGAGGAAUACAUCGGAAUCUACUUUUUCGUGGGGGAUAACGUAGGGAAACUUACGCUAAUACCGCAUACGACCUACGGGUGAAAGCAGGGGAUCUUCGGACCUUGCGCGAUUGAAUGAGCCGAUGUCGGAUUAGCUAGUUGGCGGGGUAAGGGCCCACCAAGGCGACGAUCCGUAGCUGGUCUGAGAGGAUGAUCAGCCACACUGGAACUGCGACACGGUCCAGACUCCUACGGGAGGCAGCAGUGGGGAAUAUUGGACCAUGGGCGCAAGCCUGAUCCAGCCAUACCGCGUGGGUGAAGAAGGCCUUCGGGUUGUAAAGCCCUUUUGUUGGGAAAGAAAAGCAGCAGGUUAAUACCCCGCUGUUCUGACGGUACCCAAAGAAUAAGCACCGGCUAACUUCGUG